UAUUAAAACACCGGUUCCCGUGUGAUCAGCGAAGUUAAGCAAGGCCGAGCCUGGUUUGUAACUAGUGGGAUGAACGCUUUAGAAUAGCAGGUGCUGUAAG
This is a non-coding RNA of Acanthosepion pharaonis, 100 nucleotides long. NCBI's taxonomy places the organism in Eukaryota, Metazoa, Mollusca, Cephalopoda, Sepiida, Sepiidae. The record is from the annotation of a GenBank genome assembly.